RNAcentral lists this ribosomal RNA (494 nucleotides) under uncultured bacterium. Its description in RNAcentral is "partial 16S ribosomal RNA". It matches the Rfam family "Bacterial small subunit ribosomal RNA", at positions 28 to 507 of the family's 1533-position model. The record is from RNAcentral.
GACGAACGCUGGCGGCGUGCUUAACACAUGCAAGUCGAACGGUGAAGCGCCUUCCUUUUUGGUGGGUGUGGAUGAGUGGCGAACGGGUGAGUAACACGUGAGUAACCUGCCCCCUUCUUCUGGAUAACCGCAUGAAAGUGUGGCUAAUACGGGAUAUUCUGGGUCUGUCGCAUGAUGGGUCUGGGAAAGAUAUUGUUUCGGUGGGGGAUGGGCUCGCGGCCUAUCAGCUUGUUGGUGGGGUGAUGGCCUACCAAGGCGGUGACGGGUAGCCGGCCUGAGAGGGUGGACGGUCACACUGGGACUGAGACACGGCCCAGACUCCUACGGGAGGCAGCAGUGGGGAAUAUUGCACAAUGGGCGCAAGACUGAUGCAGCGACGCCGCGUGAGGGAUGGAGGCCUUCGGGUUGUGAACCUCUUUCGCCAGUGAAGCAGGCCUGCCUCGUUUGUGGGUGGGUUGACGGUAGCUGGAUAAGAAGCGCCGGCUAACUACGUG